ACCAGGGUGGUGUAGUGGUUUAAGCGCUGGGCUACAACUCUGGAGACUAGGGUUCAAAUCCCUGCUCAGCCA
Non-coding RNA from Phrynosoma platyrhinos (Desert horned lizard), 72 nucleotides. The record is from the annotation of a GenBank genome assembly. Lineage: Eukaryota; Metazoa; Chordata; Lepidosauria; Squamata; Phrynosomatidae.